RNAcentral lists this ribosomal RNA (521 nucleotides) under uncultured bacterium. RNAcentral describes it as "bacterial SSU rRNA". It matches the Rfam family "Archaeal small subunit ribosomal RNA", at positions 345 to 866 of the family's 1478-position model. The record is from RNAcentral.
AACCUCCGCAAUGUGAGAAAUCGCGACGGGGGGAUCCCAAGUGCCAUUCUUAACGGGAUGGCUUUUCAUUAGUGUAAAGAGCUUUUGGAAUAAGGGCUGGGCAAGACCGGUGCCAGCCGCCGCGGUAACACCGGCAGCUCUAGUGGUAGCAGUUUUUAUUGGGCCUAAAGCGUCCGUAGCCGGUUUAAUAAGUCUCUGGUGAAAUCCUGUAGCUUAACUGUGGGAAUUGCUGGAGAUACUAUUAGACUUGAGACCGGGAGAGGUUAGAGGUACUCCCAGGGUAGAGGUGAAAUUCUGUAAUCCUGGGAGGACCGCCUGUUGCGAAGGCGUCUAACUGGAACGGUUCUGACGGUGAGGGACGAAAGUUAGGGGCGCGAACCGGAUUAGAUACCCGGGUAGUCCUAACCGUAAACGAUGCGGACUUGGUGUUGGGGUGGCUUUGAGCUGCUCCAGUGCCGAAGGGAAGCUGUUAAGUCCGCCGCCUGGGAAGUACGGUCGCAAGACUGAAACUUAAGGAAGUU